Molecule: long non-coding RNA, 445 nt
Organism: Panthera uncia (snow leopard)
Lineage: Eukaryota; Metazoa; Chordata; Mammalia; Carnivora; Felidae
Exons: 3
Source: RefSeq, a predicted model, not a curated record
UAUGGCUGUUGGGGGGUUGGGGUUAAAAACAUUAAAGACACUAAUCCUGAAAUUUGGCUUUAUCCUGCCUAGGUAUGAUGCAGAUUUGUUUUCAACACGUGUAUUUGAAGAAAAGGAUGACCAAGUUUAAAGGGAAUUUUGUAAUGGUCUCUAUUUUUACAUGGUAUUCCAUGUCUCCAUUUUUCUUCUCCAGUUUUGAAUUUAAAGAAUUUCUAGAUUUUAUACAAAAGCAAUCUGGGGAGAUAAAGUCAAUAGAAUUCUUCAUCAUUGCUCAAUCUGUUUAAAAAGCAAAAGACCAAAGAAAGAUUCUUCCUAUCAAUGAUCAGACUUUGUGAUAGACUCCUCUCCAAAAAGUUACCAAGACACUGUUACACGGAACAAAGAUUUAAUAAAAAUUGCUGAUAGCCAAGAGUAAUAUGGGAAGAGUAAAAAUAAAUGUUAUAUA